This 443-nucleotide ribosomal RNA is filed under the name uncultured bacterium. Its description in RNAcentral is "partial 16S ribosomal RNA". It matches the Rfam family "Bacterial small subunit ribosomal RNA", at positions 338 to 795 of the family's 1533-position model. The record is from RNAcentral.
CCUACGGGCGGCAGCAGUGGGGAAUAUUGCACAAUGGGCGCAACCCUGACCCAGCGACGCCGCGUGAACGAAGAAGUAUUUCGGGUUGUAAACUUCUUUUCUCAGGGAAGAAACAGAUGACGGUACCUGAGGAAUCAGCCACGGCUAACGACGUGCCAGCAGCCGCGGUAAUACGUAGGUGGCAAGCGUUAUCCGGAUUUACUGGGUGUAAAGGGCGUGUAGGCGGUGCCGCAAGUCAGAUGUGAAAACCACGGGCUCAACGCGUGGACUGCAUUUGAAACUGUGGUUCUGGAGUACUGGAGAGGCAGACGGAAUUCCUAGUGUAGCGGUGAAAUGCGUAGAUAUUAGGAGGAACACCAGUGGCGAAGGCGGUCUGCUGGACAGUAACUGACGCUGAGGCGCGAAAGCGUGGGGAGCAAACAGGAUUAGAUACCCCUGUAGUC